This 4686-nucleotide long non-coding RNA is filed under the name Zea mays. Its description in RNAcentral is "drought responsive lncRNA". The record is from RNAcentral. Lineage: Eukaryota; Viridiplantae; Streptophyta; Magnoliopsida; Poales; Poaceae.
GAGAGGGGGCGCAGCCCCUAGGGGCGGCCAACCCUAGGUCGUCCAUUAUGGGCCGCAAUUGGGCUGGUCGUCUAUUCUUCCGGGCCUUCGUUCUUUAACAACAUGAUGUAGUUCAAUUCUCUUGCACGGGCCCGAGUCACUGGCCCAGGUGGAAGGGGUGGCGCCUGGGCUGGAGAAGGUGCUGCUGGUGUAGAUGUGCUCGUGUUGGUGUUGAUGUCCGCAUCAAAACUGUUUAUAGAUCAAAAGUUAUGAGGACCCAAAAACAGCAAGUUGAUAUUAUUUUCAGCAUACUUCAAAUCUGAUUCAAAACUGAAUUAAGCAUUUUACUCGGUUCGGUUCUAAUUACCUCGGUCUGCUUAAUUGUUAAAUAACGACAAAACCUGUGAACCCCUUUUAAUUACAUAGAUUAUCGAAAUGAAAAUGGCACCAAACUCGAACCUUUGCGAGAUAAUUAAAAUUUAGUGUCCAUUUUAUUCAUCGCUAUCACGUGUUAAGGUCCGCACUCGUGGUCGAGCAGACGAUAAACACAUGGGGUGUUACAACCCUCCCCCCUUAAAAGAAUCUUGUCCCGACAUUCAGAACGAAAGACUUUUAAGAGUAGAGAAUAAUAUAACUCUUGCCCAUAUCAGCGGUAACCAUAAAACAGCUCCAAGCAAAGUCGAGUGUCUCAGAAUAUGGUUUCUCUAGUGGACAUAACAUGCAUUGCCCUAAGCUAAUUUAGAAAUGUCCACCAAUAGAGACGAUGUCUGCCAGAGGAACACAUAAGGUUCCAUGUGCAGUUUGCUUUUUCUGAUGACACUGUACUAUUUGAGUCUGUUGGGCGAGCGGCAGAUAUGCGACUUUACCCAAACGCAACAAGGGGUCACGGUAAGUUCACAGCACACGAGGCGGGUGUGAAUGUCGAAUAACAUCACAGUUGACCCAUGGCCAGCCAGAAAAUCCAAGUCCAAGAAAAAUGAUAGAGACUAGAAAAAUCACUAGCGAAGGGAUCUAUAGAUGCGGGCUUUGCAACCAGUCCAUUUUAUCAAGCACUAGGCAUGGCUCGACUUGAUCACACAUGCUGGAAAAGCACACACGAGGCGAUCAAGGCAUGACUAGAGUUGUGGUUAGGCUGUUAACAGUUAGCUGAGGAUGGCAAAAAUACCUCGGCCAACAAGGUAAAGUUAAGAUGCAUAUGCUCAUAAUCUAAACCAAUAUGGCACAAGAUCUGCGCAUAUGUUCAUAUCCUUCACUUGAUCUUCACCAAGUUUUUCUUCAGGAUAGGCUGAACUAAAGUGAGUUUAGACAACUCGAUAAGACGAUUUCUAAACUCAACCUUUGUUCACAAAGCAGUUACAAGUUAGUAAAACCAACUUGUUGAACUACCUUUGACAUUGAGCAAGUCCUCUCAGUACCAUCGGUAAGACAAGGGUUGAGAGUUCACUUUAAUUAACAAGAGAUCAUGCACUUGGGUAGAAAUCCAUUUGGUCAGGUUGUUCAUCCGUUUCUUCAUGCGAGAUGAAUUAUCAACUUGGUUAAGGAAUAUAGGGAUUAAUAAGAGAGUGAAUGAAAAAACUCCUGCAUCUCAGCAGCAGGGAAAAUCAAUCUGCAUUUUGAGAGCUAAUUAGCUGCUUUCCAACACUAAAAAGCUCCAAGGCUUCACCUUUACACAAAGGAUGCAAAGGGAACGUGUAUGUGUGAAGUCACCAUCAAAGUCAAGGAAAAGAGACCACACAUGAAAGGGGUAUGCCCUUUUGAUCCAACAGAGAUGAUAGAUGUUGCUUGAUCACAUGACAAACAACAUAGAAAUCUUUUCAAGGAAGAUAUCCACGGAAGAUAACACACAAGUGUAAUUCUAUAACAAUCAUGACUAGAGACUUCGAUAUCGGUAUGCGCCAAGCAGCAGAACCUUGCGUGUACAUUCACAAGGGGCUCUCAGUUUCGCCGCGGUACCAUAAGUCCUUAACCAUGACACCAUUACAAAACUGGCACCAAUAAUGAAUCUCACGUGGUAAGAACAAUUUGUGCAGAGAUAACAUAUCGAUGUAGUCUCAUAAUGGAUUAUGACUACUAACGGUGAUACCAGCGCGUGCCAAGUAGCGCAACCAUGUGCUGAUCACCCACAGGAGGCUCUGGGUUUCAUCGCGGUGCCAUCGAUUUUAGUCAUAACACCAUUACCAGAUGUAAUCAAUAAGAAAUCUCGCGCCACACCAUUAGAGUAAGCAAGGGUGACAAUAUACAAAGAGAUACCCCACCUAUAAGAAUGGUUACAAGUAGAGAGCCAAAUAGAUCAUGGCCCGAUGAAAUGAACACGAUAUAGCCAAAACCUAAACUUGAUGAAAGGAGUAUGAUGGGAGACUGUUACUUCAGUCCAAGCAUAUUUCUAUGCCCAUCGCAGAGAUUACAAGGUCAGGGAUUAGUAUCUGACUAGAUACGGAGGGAAAAUAAUCAUAAGAUUAAGUUGAUAUGCCUUUGAUAGAUAUGAGGAAACCAAAGGCAUCAAAUUCAAGAAAAAGAUUGGGCAGUCCUUUCCUAAGUUAGGUUGAUAAAAUAACGACAUGAUCCUUAAGAAGAGGCAAAACUGGAUAAGGGACAUCAGCUUGCAUCAACCAAACAAGGACACGGUUUUGGAAGGAGAUAUAACUCAAGAUUCUCGUUUUAAGCCCGGGUACACUUUAUGUCUAACAAGGAAAUUAUCUAAGCAUUUAUUUUUAUGUGUUUGGUCAUGGAGUGAUAACGGAAAAAACAGCUUUGGGUCAUGGUUCACUAAAUAAGAACAUGGCCUAAUUUUGGGUUUAAGCAAACAAACUACUAACCUUCUAUCAGUACAUCAAGCACCAGAGCAAACACAUAUAUAACACCUAAAUAGGUUACCUAAAGAAUGGAGGAUAGCUAUUUCAUUGAAGUUUAUAAUACAACAUUACACCAUAUUAGGUAAAAUCACUGGUUACUGGAAUAAAGAUGAGAGAAGCAUUUUGGAUAUAUAGGUGACAAACACGAUGCAACAAUCAGGAUGCAUGCUCGUCUUAUGCGUCCUCACUGAUUUUGCCAACAUAAUGUGGCAAUAACGUUCUAUAUCAGUGGCAUACUUACGACUCUCGAUAUUUUACUAGUCGUCAGCUACACAUACGUUUUCGAGGUUAGUAUACCUGCAGAAAAUUCCAUCACAGCCCAUUUUUCCCAUGAUGCAGUUCACACAUGACAGUUUAUCACAGUUUAUACUCCAUAUAUUGCUAUAUUGAGGCUAGCUCAUCAUUAAGCGUCGAGCCACGCAUAGGCGCUGUUGCCACACUUUAACCAUAGGGCAACCCAUUAUGGUAACUCACCUUCUUACCUGAGCGUAGGUGCGUCGUUACAAGUACAUUACACUUCUCAGUAUUCCCAUGUCUAUAUACCCGUACAUAUCAUGGGGUACUGAAUUACAUUCCCAAAAAAAGUAUUUACUCCACAUCGCAGCCUUCAUAUAUACAUAUGUGGAACAUGUAUAUAAUCAAGCGCCACAAUUAAGCACUUCCCUAGACCGACGUUUGUUCGGUCAUGCUCUCACAUCUCACCUUACCUGAGCGUCGAUCCAUUCAGAACUGAAUGGCCUCAAAAAUAACAAUACACAUGUAUGCAAUACCACCCGAUUGUGGGUUAUGGUUUUUAAAUAAGCCACCCGAUAGUCCUUAGUUUAGGGCUUAAAAGAGGAUGUCGCUAGCAUUAUAGUUUUUUCAAAACUGUUUUUCAAAACCAAACAACGUGUUUAGUUGAAAAUAGGUUUUCUAAAACCAAAACUUUGUUUUUAAAAUACGUAUGUGACCGUAUAAACUUAAUCCUGCUCCGAUACCAGCUGUGGCAGAACCUCCCAAGUUAUUAGGCCCACAUGCACCUGUCCUUGUCUCAAAGACCUCAGACGGCUAUGCAUGUGCACCAGAUAACUUAACAGGAUCUGUCCGAGUGUCCCAAGGACCCCAGAUAAACCACUUACAACCAGGAUCGCAAGAUUAAGUAACACAAAUCACACACACCAACAUUUUGCAGCGGAAAUCUUAUUACCAAAUUUUACAAGUUACAUCAAGUUUUACAAUGUAAAUGAUCGGAGUGAUUACAAAAAGUGAUUCAAAGAAGUAACUUUGAACUGUUAUAAAUUAUUUGUAGUUUUGAAAUAUAUGCUAGCUUAAGUGACCAUCCUCAAUAAGAAGUAUAGAAGAGUUACUUAGACUUAUAAGAAGGUCGAGCCCACCGGCACUUAACACCAUCAUCAACAACACAAAACUAUAACCUGAAAAACAACAGGGAAUAAAACCCUGAGUACGGAAUUACUCAGCAAGACUUAACCGACUAAAGAAAAGACUCUCAAGGAUAUGCUGGAUUUAGGAAUCAAGGAGAGGCUCUUAGCAAGAAUCAACUUAGAUACUUUUGCAGAAAUAGCUUACUAAAGUGAGUCCUUACUUUCAAUAUUUUAACGCCAGAUUAAAUAUUAAUAGACUCUGGUUGCAUCUAGUCUAAUUUUACCAUCUCAUCAAUACAACAUCAUUUUUAUUCAUAAGGUUUACAUCCUGACUUAGGUCGCAGGGCAGCGAUCAAGUCUCCACUCUCCGGGGAUAUAACGGCGAUCCGAAUCGAUUUACUCAGCUGAGGAUCUCUAACCACACGACAUAUGUAGCACUUAACCCUUGCAUAUGUCAACCGUUCCCACAGAUCCUCCACAACGUGAACCGGUCC